RNAcentral lists this unclassified non-coding RNA (573 nucleotides) under Hevea brasiliensis (rubber tree). The record is from RNAcentral. Lineage: Eukaryota; Viridiplantae; Streptophyta; Magnoliopsida; Malpighiales; Euphorbiaceae.
GCAAAAUAAGUGGGUAUUAUAUGAACUUAUAAAUCUUAGAGCAAUACAACAUUGCUGCAUUUGUUUGUAUAUAUGACAAUAACAGCACUCCAAAUAAAAGGUAUCAAAACUGCAGGUUAACUAACUCUUAGUAGUUCAGACAAUUGCAUUAGCUGCACUAGCAAUCCUUGGCCAUAGAUCAGCACACUCCUUUCCAAUUGGACCAGUGAUAGCAGAACCUUUCAUUUCUCCUUUGGGAUUCACAAUCACUCCAGCAUUAUCUUCAAAGUACAUGAAAACACCAUCCUUUCGUCUCCAAGGUUUACGUUGUCUAACAAUGACAGCAGGCAUCACUUUCUUCCUCAAAUCAGGUUUACCUUUCUUUACAGUAGCCAUUACCAUAUCACCUACACAAGCAGAUGGUAACCGAUUCAACCUACCCUUUAUACCCUUUACUGAAAUGAUGUAAAGGUUCUUCGCUCCAGUGUUAUCAGCACAGUUCACCGUCGCCGCCACCGGUAAACCCAGUGACAUCCGGAAUUUGUUUCCGGCAGAACCUCCACGCCCUCGCUUCGACAUUUUUGGAUCCUGAAA